CAGCGUUAUAUUGUAUAAACGAUUUGAAUAUACCUUUAAAAACAGAUAUAAUUUUCUCAUUUUGAUGAACAUGCUACCGGUGCUUAUUCAACUAGAGUGAAGCUUUCCCACAAAAUUAUUUAUUUUGUGCAGAACCAUUGCAUUGGUAAAACACAAGAAGUUAAAUUUGUACGUACCGACGUAACGCGUGGUGUCUUCCUAUGCCGCUCGUGUUGCAUGGGUAGUUUGCUUUUAUUUACUAACAUUCCGAUAAUGUUACUAGUUUUCAUUUUGUAACUGGUAGAAAUGCUGGGAUACAUUUUUAAAAACAAGUGAUAAAAGCCAUGAAAUAUGCAGCGAGUUUACGAAGAUACUUGAUUUAAAAAGUUCAACGCAAGUCCGGUGUCCUGCGUGAUUUGCGUUGCGUGGGUCAGAUGUGACCGCCUAUUUUUUCCUAUCCCCCGCUUUGGAAGAUGGUUCUGGCCCAAAAUGUAUACCCUUUCCAUAUGACGUUGAGUAGGUCACAUGGAUACUAUUACGGGCUAGCAUGCUACAUGUGUAGGGUGAAAUGUGACUGCUGUCCUGUUGCGUCGGUUUCGCGCGCUUCGCCAAAUUGCAACGACGACGCGGAAAUUUUUUGGCCGCUUUUGAAUUGUGGAUUGAUUGUUGACCUGACAGAUUGUGGUGUUCGUCUCACCUAUAUGCGUCAAGGCGCUUUUUACACUUGGCCCCUGGGCGAAGAGCAUAUUUAUCAUCAUCCGCUCUGUGACGUCAAACAGAAGCUCAGUGCUCCUGAACCGGUGUUGAUAGGCUCCAGAAUGGUUUUUAAUUUUAAGAAGUGAACAACAUGAACACAAAAAUAAUACAAAUCACACGAUUAUGAGUGGUUAUGUUUUAUUUGGAUAUCCAACAUAUUAAAAUUUAGUUUCUUGACUCAAACUUUAAGGCCUUGCAAUGAAAGAUGUAACAGAGAUACGGUGUCCUUGUUACGUGGGUAACAUCUAUAUGAGCAACAAAUUUAAUCCAUUUCCUGAUCCUGCAGCAUUACAAUUGUUCAUAGUUGUGUUGCUCAUUUCUGCUCUUCUCUGCAGAAGCCAAAAUAAGUGCUGUCAUGGAGUGAGUCUUGAGAAAACAGGAAUAUUGCUAAGGAGAGGGAUUUUUUUGCAUAUCAUUUAACUUCACCAUAUACAGUAGAUUGUAUUCCCACUGAAUUUAUAUAAUUAAAAUGUAAGAAUUUCCAUCUUGGCUGCAAUGUUUAUGCGUGAAAUGUUAUUGAUUACCAAAACAACAAAUAAAAUGAGCCAUUGGGAAACUUUAUCUGUGACCUAUACCUUGCUAUAACUAUAGUGGUGUUAGAAUGGUGUCCUUGUUACAUGGGUAUUUGGAAAGUGCACACUGUUAUUGUAAUAGAUUACUGCAUUUUCCAUGCACAUGCUGCUAUAAAAAGUUUAAGAAAUUAUGAAUGGUGAAUAUUUGAGAAGUUGAAAUUGUAUUGUUUCUAGACUUGUAACAAGAGUGCUUAAAAUUGGGGAAAACAUACAUGUAAAUAACCGCUGUGUGUGAACCAUCUUACCUUUGCAAACGAUGAUGAAGGCAGUCGACACCUGACAAGUCACAGACUGAGUGAUUCAGAACUGAAUGCAAAGUAUACUUCAACCACCAUGUUGAGUGGUCAUGUUUUAUUUGAAUAUCCAACAUAUUAAAAUUUAGUUUCUUGACUCAAACUUUAAAGCCUUGCAAUGAAAGAUGUAACAGAGAUACGGUGUCCUUGUUACGUGGGUAACAUCUAUAUGAGCAACAAAUUUAACCCAUUUCCUGAUCGUGCAGCAUUACAAUUGUUCAUAGUUGUGUUGCUCAUUUCUGCUCUUCUCUGCAGAAGCCAAAAUAAGUGCUGUCAUGGAGUGAGUCUUGAGAAAACAGGAAUAUUGCUAAGGAGAGGGUAUUUUUUGCAUAUCAUUUAACUUCACCAUAUACAGUAGAUUGUUUUCCCACUGAAUUUAUAUAAUUAAAAUGUAAGAAUUUCCAUCUUGGCUGCAAUGUUUAUGCGUGAAAUGUUAUUGAUUACCAAAACAACAAAUAAAAUGAGCCAUUGGGAAACUUUAUCUGUGACCUAUACCUUGCUAGAACUAUAGUGGUGUUAGAAUGGUGUCCUUGUUACAUGGGUAUUUGGAAAGUGCACACUGUUAUUGUAAUAGAUUACUGCAUUUUCCAUGCACAUGCUGCAAUAAAAAGUUUAAGAAAUUAUGAAUGGUGAAUAUUUGUGGACUUUUAAUAUUUGCUUAAAAUUUGAAAAGCUGCACUUUGAAA
Molecule: long non-coding RNA, 2286 nt
Filed under: Patiria miniata (bat star)
Lineage: Eukaryota; Metazoa; Echinodermata; Asteroidea; Valvatida; Asterinidae
Description: uncharacterized LOC119721994
Source: RNAcentral